GGGGGGGGGGGGGGGGGGGCGGGGGGGGGGGGGGGCGGGCGGGGGGGGCCGGCGUGGGUGGGGUGCUGGGGGGGCGCACGGGUGGGGAACACGGGAGUAACCUGCCCUGGACUUUGGGAUAACUUCAGGAAACUGGGGCUCAUACCGGAUAGGGGCUCCUGCUGCAUGGUGGGGGUUGGGCAGGUUCGGCGGUUGGGGAUGGACUCGCGGCUUAUCAGCUUGUUGGUGGGGUAGUGGCUUACCCAGGCUUUGACGGGUAGCCGGCCUGAGAGGGGGACCGGCCACAUUGGGACUGAGAUACGGCCCAGACUCCUACGGGAGGCAGCAGUGGGGAAUAUUGCACAAUGGGCGGAAGCCUGAUGCAGCAACGCCGCGUGCGGGAUGACGGCCUUCGGGUUGUAAACCGCUUUCGCCUGUGACGAAGCGUGAGUGACGGUAAUGGGUAAAGAAGCACCGGCUAACUACGUG
This 468-nucleotide ribosomal RNA is filed under the name uncultured bacterium. RNAcentral describes it as "partial 16S ribosomal RNA". The stretch from base 49 to 468 matches the Rfam family "Bacterial small subunit ribosomal RNA", at positions 39 to 507 of the family's 1533-position model. The record is from RNAcentral.